Molecule: ribosomal RNA, 253 nt
Filed under: uncultured bacterium
Lineage: Bacteria
Description: partial 16S ribosomal RNA
Rfam family: Bacterial small subunit ribosomal RNA
Source: RNAcentral
UACGUAGGGGGCAAGCGUUGUCCGGAAUCAUUGGGCGUAAAGCGCGUGUAGGCGGCUCGGUAAGUCCGCUCUGAAAGUCCAGGGCUCAACCCUGGGAUGCGGGUGGAUACUGCCGGGCUCGAGUCCGGAAGAGGCGAGUGGAAUUCCCGGUGUAGCGGUGAAAUGCGCAGAUAUCAGGAGGAACACCAAUUGCGAAGGCAGCUCGCUGGGACGUUACUGACGCUGAGACGCGAAAGCGUGGGGAGCAAACAGG